RNAcentral lists this ribosomal RNA (420 nucleotides) under uncultured Nitrososphaerota archaeon. Its description in RNAcentral is "bacterial SSU rRNA". It matches the Rfam family "Archaeal small subunit ribosomal RNA", at positions 459 to 879 of the family's 1478-position model. Lineage: Archaea; Thermoproteati; Nitrososphaerota. The record is from RNAcentral.
CAGCCGCCGCGGUAAAACCAGCACCUCAAGUGGUCAGGAUGAUUAUUGGGCCUAAAGCAUCCGUAGCCGGCUCUGUAAGUUUUCGGUUAAAUCUGUACGCUCAACGUACAGGCUGCCGGGAAUACUGCAGAGCUAGGGAGUGGGAGAGGUAGACGGUACUCGGUAGGAAGGGGUAAAAUGCUUUGAUCUAUCGAUGACCACCUGUGGCGAAGGCGGUCUACCAGAACACGUCCGACGGUGAGGGAUGAAGGCUGGGGGAGCAAACCGGAUUAGAUACCCGGGUAGUCCCAGCUGUAUACUAUGCAAACUCAGUGAUGCAUUGGCUUGUGGCCAAUGCAGUGCUGCAGGGAAGCCGUUAAGUUUGCCGCCUGGGAAGUACGUACGCAAGUAUGAAACUUAAAGGAAUUGGCGGGGGAGCGC